Non-coding RNA from Janthinobacterium sp. CG23_2, 53 nucleotides. Lineage: Bacteria; Pseudomonadati; Pseudomonadota; Betaproteobacteria; Burkholderiales; Oxalobacteraceae. The record is from Rfam.
GGGUCGGGAGCGCUGCCCUUUGCGGUGCGAUGGACGUCUGUUCCACCUGGCUC